This 253-nucleotide ribosomal RNA is filed under the name uncultured bacterium. Its description in RNAcentral is "partial 16S ribosomal RNA". It matches the Rfam family "Bacterial small subunit ribosomal RNA", at positions 524 to 776 of the family's 1533-position model. The record is from RNAcentral.
GACGAACCGAGCGAACGUUGUUCGGAAUCACUGGGCUUAAAGGGCGCGUAGGCGGGUGCUCAAGUCCGGGGUGAAAUCCCACAGCUCAACUGUGGAACUGCCUCGGAUACUGGGCGUCUCGAGGGUGGCAGGGGUAUGCGGAACUAUCGGUGGAGCGGUGAAAUGCGUUGAUAUCGAUAGGAACUCCGGUGGCGAAGGCGGCAUACUGGUCCACUUCUGACGCUGAUGCGCGAAAGCCAGGGGAGCGAACGGG